Long non-coding RNA from Leopardus geoffroyi (Geoffroy's cat), 2352 nucleotides. RefSeq lists it as uncharacterized. NCBI's taxonomy places the organism in Eukaryota, Metazoa, Chordata, Mammalia, Carnivora, Felidae. The record is from RefSeq and is a predicted model, not a curated record. The transcript is spliced from 2 exons.
CCAGUAUUUUUUUUGUUUUUUUUUUAAUUGUGGUAGAGUACACAUAAUAUUUGCUAUCUUAUCCAUUUUCAAGUGUAUAGUUUAGUACUGUUAACUAUAUUUACAUUGUUGAGCAACCAAUCUCCAGAACUUUUUCAUCUUGCAGAACUGAAACCCUGUAUCAUUAACCAACUGCCCAUUUCCUCCUUCCUCCAGCCCCUGGCAACCACCAUUCUACUUUCUUUCUGUAUGAGUUUAACUACUCUAGAUACCUCAUAUAAGUGGAAUCAUGUUGUAUUUACCUUUUUGUGACUGGUUUAUUUCACUUAGCAUAAUAUCCUCAAGAUUCAUCCAUGGUGUAGCAUGUGUUAGAAUGUCCUUCCUCUUAAAGGCUAAAUAAUAUUUCACUGUAUGUAUAUAACACAUUUUGUUUAUCCAUUCUUCUGUUAGUGGAUAUUGGAUUGCUUCCACCUUUUGACUAUUGCGAGUAAUGCUGCUGUGAACAUGAGUGUAGUACCAAUAUUUUUAUCUGAGAAAAAUGAUUUCCUAUAGAGGUACUCUUGUUUCCUUAGAAAUAAAAGUUCUUACUUGAGCCGGGGUCUGUUAGAAAAUACUGUAAGGCCUCUUUUUAGUCUUAUCCAUUGAAAUAGUUCAGCUUACAGAAUAAAGCCAAUACCCAUAUAGUUGAAAUACUCUGGUACUAGAACAAAGCUGAAGAUAAGAGACUGUGCAGAGGACACUGAAAAUGCAAAGUGACUCACGUGUGAGAGUUUGGAGUUUGGCGGGACCUACUGUGCUCAGGGAAAAUCAUUUAACAUGCUCAGUCUUAGCUAUCCCAUCUACAAAAUGGGGGUGGAUACGUUUUAAUUUCCUUCUCUAAAGUUUGAAACAUUGCCGAUUUGAGAUAUUCUGUAGCACACAGAAGGUAGAGGUCUGACGAUUUUCAUUACUGUUGCUGAGCUCCCUGAGGGCAGGGACUGGGUGGUCUGGGCACUACCAUCCUUAGGGCCUGACAGUCUGGUGCAGGUGGGAGGGGCCUGUAAAUGUUGACUGAGGAAUAUUUACCAUGGUAUUUCGGCCUUCCUCUAAUGUUAGAAAGUUUAUACGAAUUAGGAUUGCUUUGAUGUUAGGUUUGAUAUCUGAAACUACUUAUGAAUUAUAAUUCAUACGUAUGAAAUCUGUUUCUCUUAGAGAGCUAUUUUGGAAUGUGAGUUUAUUGCUGAAAACCAGUAUUUUGUGACAGAAAGAAGGUUCCAUAGAAUAUUCCAGAGAUCUGUUGCCUGACAGUCUUGCCUUCCCUCCAUUUUCCUGUGACUGAAACAGAAGUUCAAAUGAAAAGCUCUCUUAUCCUAGAAUGGCUUUCUUCUUAGGAUGCAUUGACUCCUUGGAUCCUUACAAGUUGUGGAUGUUCCUCUUAGAAAUAAAGCCAUUCCUGCUCCUGACCCUAAUACAUGUCCAUGGAAUUGGUCAUCUCCAAACAUCAUCAUCAUCAUCAUCUUCAUCAUAGCUACAAUUAAUUGGCAGUUCCGGGAGAAGGCGGGAAGGCUAAAACAAACUUUUAUCUAGCAUAAUUUUAUCUAGCAUAACCUGUGCGCUUUGAGGGUAGAGAGGACCUCGCUGUCUGCCUCCCUAACAAAUGGCUGUAUUAAAGGAGGCAGUACUUUUAAAAAAACUUUACACAUAAUAUUUAUAUAUUAUGUCCUCUUAAAUGAAUGAUGAUUAAGUAAAUCCAGUUAAUUGACAGUAGCUGUCUGAGGAAGUAUUAAAAAGGAAUAUGAUGCUUUUGUAGAGGCUUAGGAGGAAAAAAAAAAUGCCAGGACUCUUGGGCAACCUUUGCUAUGGAUAUGGGGUAGGAUUGGACAGGGAAAUGGAAACACAGGUACUUAUUGGCUGUUAUCCCUGUUUUAAAUGCUGCCCUUGGUAUUCACUCAACCUUGAUUUACCUAUAAAAGAAUGGCUCACUCAGCCAGGCUGCCUACAGGAGGACUUGAUCUUCAAUGUACCCAGUACAGAAAUUCUUUGCUUACAGCUUGUAGUGAGAAAUGACCUGUAGCUGCAGCAUCUAUCUAUUCAAAUGUGGUCUUGCAGUAAAGGUAGCUCUUUAUCAAUCUGCUUUAGCACGUCUGUUUCAGAACUACAGUUUCAGAAUGAAGUGACUGCAGGACUAAGCCUUCUAAAAGACAGGCUUUAAAUUGGCUGUCAGGGAUCUUAUAUAUGUCGGCAGUUAGACUGUGAAUAUAAAAAAAGACUAAUCAUGUUCAUGCUAGCAGCCAGUCCAUGACACAGGUGAUCUAGAUUGUGGUCAUCUGAAUGGUCCAUUCAGAACACUGUACCAUUGAUCAUAAAUACAGCAUGAUCACAAGAUGAAUCUGA